Molecule: ribosomal RNA, 404 nt
Filed under: uncultured organism
Description: bacterial SSU rRNA
Rfam family: Bacterial small subunit ribosomal RNA
Source: RNAcentral
UAGGGAAUAUUGCACAAUGGACGAAAGUCUGAUGCAGCAACGCCGCGUGCACGAUGAAGGCCUUCGGGUUGUAAAGUGCUUUUAUGAGGGAAGAGAAAGGACUGUACCUCAUGAAUAAGGAUCGGCUAACUACGUGCCAGCAGCCGCGGUAACACGUAGGAUCCGAGCGUUAUCCGGAUUUACUGGGCGUAAAGCGCGUGCAGGUGGUCUAUUAAGUUGGAUGUUAAAUCUCCUGGCUUAACUGGGAGUUGUCGUUCAAAACUGGCAGACUAGAGGACGGUAGAGGAAGGUGGAAUUCCGGGUGUAGUGGUGAAAUGCGUAGAUAUCCGGAGGAACAUCAGUGGCGAAGGCGACCUUCUGGACCGCUCCUGACACUCCAACGCGAAAGCUAGGGGAGCAAACGG